This 497-nucleotide ribosomal RNA is filed under the name uncultured bacterium. RNAcentral describes it as "partial 16S ribosomal RNA". It matches the Rfam family "Bacterial small subunit ribosomal RNA", at positions 28 to 507 of the family's 1533-position model. The record is from RNAcentral.
GAUGAACGCUGGCGGCGUGCCUAAUACAUGCAAGUCGAGCGAACAGACGAGGAGCUUGCUCCUCUGAUGUUAGCGGCGGACGGGUGAGUAACACGUGGAUAACCUACCUAUAAGACUGGGAUAACUUCGGGAAACCGGAGCUAAUACCGGAUAACAUGUUGAACCGCAUGGUUCAACAGUGAAAGACGGUCUUGCUGCCACUUAUAGAUGGAUCCGCGCCGCAUUAGCUAGUUGGUAAGGUAACGGCUUACCAAGGCAACGAUGCGUAGCCGACCUGAGAGGGUGAUCGGCCACACUGGAACUGAGACACGGUCCAGACUCCUACGGGAGGCAGCAGUAGGGAAUCUUCCGCAAUGGGCGAAAGCCUGACGGAGCAACGCCGCGUGAGUGAAGAAGGUCUUCGGAUCGUAAAACUCUGUUAUUAGGGAAGAACAAAUGUGUAAGUAACUAUGCACGUCUUGACGGUACCUAAUCAGAAAGCCACGGCUAACUACGUG